This is a long non-coding RNA of Xenopus tropicalis (tropical clawed frog), 113 nucleotides long. RefSeq lists it as uncharacterized. The transcript has 5 exons. NCBI's taxonomy places the organism in Eukaryota, Metazoa, Chordata, Amphibia, Anura, Pipidae. The record is from RefSeq and is a predicted model, not a curated record.
CCGGUGAUGUAGUUCCAGCCCAAACCGUUGAUGGAGCUCCUUCCACAACUGAUACAGGAGCAACACAAGCCGCGCCUGAUGUAGCACCAAAACAAGACGCAUCUGCCGCAUCU